AUUGAACGCUGGCGGCAUGCUUUACACAUGCAAGUCGAACGGUAACAGGGUGCUUGCACCGCUGACGAGUGGCGAACGGGUGAGUAAUACCUCGGAAUGUACCCAGUAAUGGGGGAUAACGCUUCGAAAGGAGUGCUAAUACCGCAUACGCCCUGAGGGGGAAAGUGGGGGACCGCAAGGCCUCACGUUAUUGGAGCAGCCGAUGGCUGAUUAGCUAGUUGGUGAGGUAAAGGCUCACCAAGGCGACGAUCAGUAGCGGGUCUUAGAGGACGAUCCGCACAACUGAAACUGAGACACGGCCCAGAGUCCUACGGGAGGCAGCAGUGGGAAUCUUGGACAAUGGGCGAAAGCCUGAUCCAGCAAUGCCGCGUGCGUGAAGAAGGCCUUCGGGUUGUAAAGCGCUUUUGUCUGGGAGCAAAUCCUGGCCUCUAAUACAGGUCGGGGAUGAGAGUACCAGAAGAAUAAGGACCGGCUAACUACGUGCCAGCCGCCGCGGUAA
Molecule: ribosomal RNA, 499 nt
Filed under: uncultured bacterium
Lineage: Bacteria
Description: partial 16S ribosomal RNA
Rfam family: Bacterial small subunit ribosomal RNA
Source: RNAcentral